Molecule: ribosomal RNA, 765 nt
Filed under: uncultured bacterium
Lineage: Bacteria
Description: bacterial SSU rRNA
Rfam family: Bacterial small subunit ribosomal RNA
Source: RNAcentral
AUUGAACGCUGGCGGAACGCUUUACACAUGCAAGUCGAACGGUAACGCGGAGAGAAGCUUGCUUCUCUCCGGCGACGAGUGGCGAACGGGUGAGUAAUACAUCGGAACGUGUCCGCUCGUGGGGGACAACCAGCCGAAAGGUUGGCUAAUACCGCAUGAGUUCUACGGAAGAAAGAGGGGGACCCGCAAGGGCCUCUCGCGAGCGGAGCGGCCGAUGACUGAUUAGCCGGUUGGUGAGGUAACGGCUCACCAAAGCAACGAUCAGUAGCUGGUCUGAGAGGACGACCAGCCACACUGGGACUGAGACACGGCCCAGACUCCUACGGGAGGCAGCAGUGGGGAAUUUUGGACAAUGGGCGCAAGCCUGAUCCAGCUAUUCCGCGUGUGGGAUGAAGGCCCUCGGGUUGUAAACCACUUUUGUAGAGAACGAAAAGACACCUUCGAAUAAAGGGUGUUGCUGACGGUACUCUAAGAAUAAGCACCGGCUAACUACGUGCCAGCAGCCGCGGUAAUACGUAGGGUGCGAGCGUUAAUCGGAAUUACUGGGCGUAAAGGGUGCGCAGGCGGUUGAGUAAGACAGAUGUGAAAUCCCCGAGCUUAACUCGGGAAUGGCAUAUGUGACUGCUCGACUAGAGUGUGUCAGAGGGAGGUGGAAUUCCACGUGUAGCAGUGAAAUGCGUAGAUAUGUGGAAGAACACCGAUGGCGAAGGCAGCCUCCUGGGACAUAACUGACGCUCAGGCACGAAAGCGUGGGGAGCAAACAGG